Molecule: ribosomal RNA, 406 nt
Filed under: uncultured bacterium
Lineage: Bacteria
Description: partial 16S ribosomal RNA
Rfam family: Bacterial small subunit ribosomal RNA
Source: RNAcentral
AUUGAACGCUGGCGGCAGGCCUAACACAUGCAAGUCGGGCGAGCGGCGGACGGGUGAGUAAUGUAUGGGGAUCUGCUUGACGGCGGGGGAUCACUACUGGAAACGGUACAUAAUCCCGCAUACUAUCAUAUGAACCCAUAUGGGAUUAGCGGGCAGGUAAAGUAACCGCUCACCUAGGCGACGAUCUCUAGCUGGUCUGAGAGGAUGACCAGCCACACUGUGACUGAGAGACGGGCCAGGCUCCUACGGGAGGCAGCAGUGGGGAAUAUUGCGCAAUGUGGGCAACUCUGACGCAGCCAUGCCGCGGGAAUGAAGAAGGCCUUCGGGUUGUAAAGUUCUUGCGUGAGCGAGGCGUUAGCUAGAGAGGAAGCACCGGAUAACUCCGUGCCAGCCGCCGCGGUAAUAC